RNAcentral lists this non-coding RNA (182 nucleotides) under Metabacillus lacus. RNAcentral describes it as "6S / SsrS RNA". It matches the Rfam family "6S / SsrS RNA". From Rfam's summary of the family: E. coli 6S RNA was the first non coding RNA to be sequenced, but its function was unknown until recently. The record is from Rfam by way of RNAcentral. Lineage: Bacteria; Bacillati; Bacillota; Bacilli; Caryophanales; Bacillaceae.
GAAGUCCUGAUGUGUUCGUUGUACACCUAGUUUUGACCUAACAUUUUUUAUACGGGAGCCCAAGUUUUCCGGUGGAGUACAUGCCUUAUUCUGUAAGGACUUACGAGUAUCGGGAACAGGGCACCCACCUGCGGUGAGCGGGAUCAAAACAAGGAAACGGCGACGGCACGAUUGGGACUUCU